UACGUAGGGUGCGAGCGUUGUCCGGAAUUACUGGGCGUAAAGAGCUCGUAGGUGGUUUGUCGCGUUGUUCGUGAAAACCGGGGGCUUAACCUUCGGCGUGCGGGCGAUACGGGCAGACUGGAGUACUGCAGGGGAGACUGGAAUUCCUGGCGUAGCGGUGGAAUGCGCAGAUAUCAGGAGGAACACCGGUGGCGAAGGCGGGUCUCUGGGCCGAUACUGACGCUGGAGGAGCGAAAGCGUGGGGAGCGAACAGG
This 254-nucleotide ribosomal RNA is filed under the name uncultured bacterium. RNAcentral describes it as "partial 16S ribosomal RNA". It matches the Rfam family "Bacterial small subunit ribosomal RNA", at positions 524 to 776 of the family's 1533-position model. The record is from RNAcentral.